AUACAAAAUAUGUAGAUCUACAAAAAGACAACAGGUUCAGUUAAGGGAAAGAUUGAUCUUUGUCAAGGAAGACACCAUCCUAGGACAUGACUACCUUCCAGGA
Molecule: long non-coding RNA, 103 nt
Organism: Myotis brandtii (Brandt's bat)
Lineage: Eukaryota; Metazoa; Chordata; Mammalia; Chiroptera; Vespertilionidae
Exons: 3
Source: RefSeq, a predicted model, not a curated record